AUUUUUUAUCUUAUACAUUCAAUUUUCUAAUACAAUUAACUAUCUAUUUCAUAAAAAACUCGAUUUUAAUUCUACACACUUCAUCUUACUUGAUAAUGAUUUCAUGUCAAAAUAAUAUAUAUAUAUAUAUAUGAGAUCAAAUCUAUAUCUUAGUUAAUAUUAAAAAUUAUUAACAAUUAACAAAACAUAAUUCAUAAUAAUAAAACAUUUGUUAAUACCAUAUAUAUUAAAAAUUUGACCAAUAACAUAUAUAAUUUU
This 258-nucleotide small RNA is filed under the name Arabidopsis thaliana (thale cress). Its description in RNAcentral is "ATSL303130". Lineage: Eukaryota; Viridiplantae; Streptophyta; Magnoliopsida; Brassicales; Brassicaceae. The record is from RNAcentral.